CCUACGGGGUGCAGCAGGCGCGCAAACUUUACAAUGCGAGCAAUCGUGAUAAGGAAACCCUGAGUGCCUGUCGAUGCAGGCUGUUCAUAUAUCUAAAUCAUAUGUGAAGAAAGGGCAGGGCAAGACCGGUGCCAGCCGCCGCGGUAAUACCGGCUGCUCGAGUGAUGGCCACUAUUACUGGGUUUAAAGCGUCCGUAGCUUGACUGUUAGGUCCCUUGGGAAAUCUUCACGCUUAACGUGAAGGCGUCUAAGAGAUACCGGCAGUCUUGGAACUGGGAGAGGUAAACCGUACUUCGGGGGUAGGAGUGAAAUCUUGUAAUCCUCGAGGGACGACCUAUGGCGAAGGCAGUUUACCAGAACAGCUUCGACAGUGAGGGACGAAAGCUGGGGGAGCAAACGGGAUUAGAUACCCCGGUAGUCCCAGCCGUAAACAAUGUGCGUUAGGUGUGUCGGUAACCACGUGUUACUGAUGCGCCGAAGAGAAAUCGUGAAACGCACCACCUGGGAAGUACGGUCGCAAGGCUGAAACUUAAAGGAAUUGGCGGGGGAGCACCACAACAGGUGGAGCCUGCGGUUUAAUUGGAUUCAACGCCGGACAUCUCACCGGAUAAGACAGCUGAAUGAUUGUCAAUCUGAAGGUUUUACAUGACUAGCUGAGAGGAGGUGCAUGGCCGUCGUCAGUUCGUACUGUGAAGCAUCCUGUUAAGUCAGGCAACGAGCGAGACCCACGCCGACAAUUGCCAGCAGCAUCUCCGGAUGGCUGGGGACAUUGUCGGGACCGCCUCUGCUAAAGAGGAGGAAGGAAUGGGCAACGGUAGGUCAGCAUGCCCCGAAUUAUCCGGGCUACACGCGGGCUACAAUGGACGGGACAAUGGGUAACAACACCGAAAGGUGCAGUCAAUCUCCUAACCCCGUCCUUAGUUAGGAUUGCGGGUUGCAACUCACCCGCAUGAAUCUGGAAUCUGUAGUAAUCGCGUUUCACUAUAGCGCGGUGAAUACGUCCCUGCUCCUUGCACACACCGCCCGUC
Molecule: ribosomal RNA, 1028 nt
Filed under: uncultured archaeon
Lineage: Archaea
Description: bacterial SSU rRNA
Rfam family: Archaeal small subunit ribosomal RNA
Source: RNAcentral